Molecule: small RNA, 976 nt
Filed under: Arabidopsis thaliana (thale cress)
Lineage: Eukaryota; Viridiplantae; Streptophyta; Magnoliopsida; Brassicales; Brassicaceae
Description: ATSL191660
Source: RNAcentral
CGAUCUUACAAUCAUAUUUCACUUAAUCUUUUAACAUAUAAUAUAUAAAUAUAUAUGAUAGUAAUUUAUAUAUCAUAUAUUAAUAUAUUAAGUUAUAUAUAUAUAUAGAUAAAUUUAUACAAUUAUUAAUUUAUGAUAUUGAUAGACUAUAUGUUUACACAUGGUUUUCAAAAAAAAUAUUAUCGCACCAACUCGGGACCGAAAGAAUUUAUCAAUUUAUAGAGAUUAGAAAGUGGAAUAAAUUUAUCGAGUAUUAAAUUAUAGAGAUUUUACUAAAAAUGCUAAACUUGUCAAAGUAAAAGCCCAAUCACAAUCUCCAACAAGAUCUUUUCAUUAUCAUCCGAGAUCAAGAAUAUUUUAGUGGGUCGUCAUGGAGAGUCCAACUCCGACGGACGUGAGUUUUAUAGUCGUCAGAACAGCUUGCGAUAUGCGCAUCGAAGUGAGUUUUAUAGUCUUCAGAACAGCUUGCGAUACUCUUAAGAUGGUCAAUUGCACCAAUCGUACAAAAUCGAUACAAAUAAAUGGAUGAAACAAACAUUUAUUUUUGCAGAAAACUUUAAUUUGUCAAUCAACUUGAUAUGAAAAUGAAGCUUUACAUGUAGGUCGGAUCUCCACUGAUGCACUAUGAUGGUUGAAUUGGAAACAAUGGGGUUUAUCAAAUGCUUUCUCGUUCAUUAUGUGAUGCAUGCGUUAUGAGCGAUCGACUCUUUGUCUUUUAUCUAGGAUAAGAUUGAUGACUUAUGAUGCCACUAGAAAUAAGCGGAGAACCAACCCAUCAAAAGUCAUUGGAUUACAAGAAAUAAUCAAUUACUAAUAAGAGACUUAUUUGAGGGGUGUUUAUAAGUUUUGCCAUUUGGCCAAAAAAACUUUUAAAAAUGCAAUUUUCUUAUAUACAACUUUACACAUGAUGUUUGGUUAAGUUCCAGUUUUUUAGGGUAUAGUUUUUGUUAUGAAUUAUAUUGUAUAAUUGUUUUUU